Molecule: ribosomal RNA, 434 nt
Filed under: uncultured bacterium
Lineage: Bacteria
Description: partial 16S ribosomal RNA
Rfam family: Bacterial small subunit ribosomal RNA
Source: RNAcentral
AGCGAACGCUGGCGACAGGCUUAACACAUGCAAGUCGAGCGGGCACUUUCGGGUGUCAGCGGCGGACGGGUGAGUAACGCGUGGGAACGUGCCCUCUGGUUCGGAAUAACUCAGGGAAACUUGAGCUAAUACCGGAUACGCCCUUUUGGGGAAAGGCUUGCUGCCGGAGGAUCGGCCCGCGUCUGAUUAGCUAGUUGGUGAGGUAACGGCUCACCAAGGCGACGAUCAGUAGCUGGUCUGAGAGGAUGAUCAGCCACACUGGGACUGAGACACGGCCCAGACUCCUACGGGAGGCAGCAGUGGGGAAUAUUGGACAAUGGGCGCAAGCCUGAUCCAGCCAUGCCGCGUGAGUGAUGAAGGCCUUAGGGUUGUAAAGCUCUUUUAUCCGGGACGAUAAUGACGGUACCGGAGGAAUAAGCCCCGGCUAACUUCGU